RNAcentral lists this ribosomal RNA (693 nucleotides) under Bacillus licheniformis. Its description in RNAcentral is "bacterial SSU rRNA". It matches the Rfam family "Bacterial small subunit ribosomal RNA", at positions 26 to 702 of the family's 1533-position model. The record is from RNAcentral. Lineage: Bacteria; Bacillati; Bacillota; Bacilli; Caryophanales; Bacillaceae.
GGAAACAUGGCCGGCAUGCUAAAUACAUGCAAGUCGAGCGGACCGACGGGAGCUUGCUCCCUUAGGUCAGCGGCGGACGGGUGAGUAACACGUGGGUAACCUGCCUGUAAGACUGGGAUAACUCCGGGAAACCGGGGCUAAUACCGGAUGCUUGAUUGAACCGCAUGGUUCAAUCAUAAAAGGUGGCUUUUAGCUACCACUUACAGAUGGACCCGCGGCGCAUUAGCUAGUUGGUGAGGUAACGGCUCACCAAGGCGACGAUGCGUAGCCGACCUGAGAGGGUGAUCGGCCACACUGGGACUGAGACACGGCCCAGACUCCUACGGGAGGCAGCAGUAGGGAAUCUUCCGCAAUGGACGAAAGUCUGACGGAGCAACGCCGCGUGAGUGAUGAAGGUUUUCGGAUCGUAAAACUCUGUUGUUAGGGAAGAACAAGUACCGUUCGAAUAGGGCGGCACCUUGACGGUACCUAACCAGAAAGCCACGGCUAACUACGUGCCAGCAGCCGCGGUAAUACGUAGGUGGCAAGCGUUGUCCGGAAUUAUUGGGCGUAAAGCGCGCGCAGGCGGUUUCUUAAGUCUGAUGUGAAAGCCCCCGGCUCAACCGGGGAGGGUCAUUGGAAACUGGGGAACUUGAGUGCAGAAGAGGAGAGUGGGAAUUCCACGUGUAGCCGUGAAAUGCGUAGAGAUGUGCA